GACGAACGCUGGCGGCGUGCUUAACACAUGCAAGUCGAACGGAAAGGCCCUGCUUUUGUGGGGUGCUCGAGUGGCGAACGGGUGAGUAACACGUGAGUAACCUGCCCUUGACUUUGGGAUAACUUCAGGAAACUGGGGCUAAUACCGGAUAGGAGCUCCUGCUGCAUGGUGGGGGUUGGAAAGUUUCGGCGGUUGGGGAUGGACUCGCGGCUUAUCAGCUUGUUGGUGGGGUAGUGGCUUACCAAGGCUUUGACGGGUAGCCGGCCUGAGAGGGUGACCGGCCACAAUGGGACUUGGAUACGGCCCAGACUCCUACGGGAGGGAGGAGGGGGGAAUAUUGCAACAUGGGCGGAAGCCUGAUGCAGCAACGCCGCGUGCGGGAUGACGGCCUUCGGGUUGUAAACCGCUUUCGCCUGUGACGAAGCGUGAGUGACGGUAAUGGGUAAAGAAGCACCGGCUAACUACGUG
This 468-nucleotide ribosomal RNA is filed under the name uncultured bacterium. RNAcentral's name for it is "partial 16S ribosomal RNA". It matches the Rfam family "Bacterial small subunit ribosomal RNA", at positions 28 to 507 of the family's 1533-position model. The record is from RNAcentral.